RNAcentral lists this ribosomal RNA (499 nucleotides) under uncultured bacterium. RNAcentral describes it as "partial 16S ribosomal RNA". It matches the Rfam family "Bacterial small subunit ribosomal RNA", at positions 28 to 507 of the family's 1533-position model. The record is from RNAcentral.
GAUGAACGCUGGCGGCGUGCCUAAUACAUGCAAGUCGAGCGAACAGACGAGAGUGCUUGCACUCUCUGACGUUAGCGGCGGACGGGUGAGUAACACGUGGGUAACCUACCUAUAAGACUGGGAUAACUUCGGGAAACCGGAGCUAAUACCGGAUAAUAUUUAGCUUCGCAUGAAGCAAUAGUGAAAGACGGUUCUGCUGUCACUUAUAGAUGGACCCGCGGUGUAUUAGCUAGUUGGUGAGGUAACGGCUCACCAAGGCAACGAUACAUAGCCGACCUGAGAGGGUGAUCGGCCACACUGGGACUGAGACACGGCCCAGACUCCUACGGGAGGCAGCAGUAGGGAAUCUUCCGCAAUGGACGAAAGUCUGACGGAGCAAUGCCGCGUGAGUGAAGAAGGUUUUCGGAUCGUAAAACUCUGUUGUAAGGGAAGAACAAGUACGUUAGUAACUGAACGUAUCUUGACGGUACCUUAACAGAAAGCCACGGCUAACUACGUG